GGUAGAAUUCCAGGUGUAGCGGUGAAAUGCGUAGAGAUCUGGAGGAAUACCGGUGGCGAAGGCGGCCCCCUGGACGAAGACUGACGCUCAGGUGCGAAAGCGUGGGGAGCAAACAGGAUUAGAUACCCUGGUAGUCCACGCCGUAAACGAUGUCGACUUGGAGGUUGUGCCCUUGAGGCGUGGCUUCCGGAGCUAACGCGUUAAGUCGACCGCCUGGGGAGUACGGCCGCAAGGUUAAAACUCAAAUGAAUUGACGGGGGCCCGCACAAGCGGUGGAGCAUGUGGUUUAAUUCGAUGCAACGCGAAGAACCUUACCUGGUCUUGACAUCCACGGAAGUUUUCAGAGAUGAGAAUGUGCCUUCGGGAACCGUGAGACAGGUGCUGCAUGGCUGUCGUCAGCUCGUGUUGUGAAAUGUUGGGUUAAGUCCCGCAACGAGCGCAACCCUUAUCCUUUGUUGCCAGCGGUCCGGCCGGGAACUCAAAGGAGACUGCCAGUGAUAAACUGGAGGAAGGUGGGGAUGACGUCAAGUCAUCAUGGCCCUUACGACCAGGGCUACACACGUGCUACAAUGGCGCAUACAAAGAGAAGCGACCUCGCGAGAGCAAGCGGACCUCAUAAAGUGCGUCGUAGUCCGGAUUGGAGUCUGCAACUCGACUCCAUGAAGUCGGAAUCGCUAGUAAUCGUGGAUCAGAAUGCCACGGUGAAUACGUUCCCGGGCCUUGUACACACCGCCCGUCACACCAUGGGAGUGGGUUGCAAAAGAAGUAGGUAGCUUAACCUUCGGGAGGGCGCUUACCACUUUGUGAUUCAUGACUGGGGUGAAGUCGUAACAAGGUAACCGUAGGGGAACCUGCGGUUGGAUCACCUCCUUACCUUAAAGAAGC
RNAcentral lists this ribosomal RNA (885 nucleotides) under Escherichia coli. Its description in RNAcentral is "bacterial SSU rRNA". It matches the Rfam family "Bacterial small subunit ribosomal RNA", at positions 660 to 1533 of the family's 1533-position model. The record is from RNAcentral. RNAcentral also lists the same sequence under 2 other names. Lineage: Bacteria; Pseudomonadati; Pseudomonadota; Gammaproteobacteria; Enterobacterales; Enterobacteriaceae.